Molecule: ribosomal RNA, 253 nt
Filed under: uncultured bacterium
Lineage: Bacteria
Description: partial 16S ribosomal RNA
Rfam family: Bacterial small subunit ribosomal RNA
Source: RNAcentral
UACAGAGGGUGCUAGCGUUGUUCGGAAUCAUUGGGCGUAAAGGGCGUGUAGGCGGUUUGUUAAGUCAUGUGUGAAAUCCCUCGGCUUAACCGGGGAACUGCGUCCGAUACUGGAUGGCUUGAGUUUGGGAGAGGGAUGCGGAAUUCCAGGUGUAGCGGUGAAAUGCGUAGAUAUCUGGAGGAACACCGGUGGCGAAGGCGGCAUCCUGGACCAACACUGACGCUGAGGAGCGAAAGCCAGGGGAGCAAACGGG